AGAUAUCCAUUCCCGCCUCUUUUCACAGCUCAGAUCCUUGUCCAUCAAAAGGUUUCUGCAAUAAGUCUUUCUAAAACAAUACCCAGGAAUCAUCCCACAUAUUACUGGGGAGGUUAAUAAUAAUUGUAUUAGAGUCACGCACUGGAGGGAGAGACAAGGAGAAACUCAACUUUUAGCUAUAGAUGUUUUCUUUUUGGGGAGGGGAAAACUCAGUCCCUGAAAAAAAAAAAACCCGUUACAGUUUCCCAUUAAAACUUGACACCAUGGGAUGGCCCUAGCGGUCACGUCCACCUCGGAUUGGUUCGCUCACCGGAAGUUGCUUUCAGACGCCUAUUCCAACAGAUAAGUCAACUGCCAGAGACCCGUUUUUUCCCUUCCCCCCAAAGUAUAUUUUGUCACAGCCCCAGCCCCACAGAUCCCGGCGCAGCUCCAUGUGCAGACGACCCACCCAUCGGUGCUGGUGCCCAAAGCAACCCGUGACAGCUGCUUCUCGGUCCCCGUCUCUUCCCCUCCAGCCCCCUCCCCUUCUUCCAUUGCAAACUGGGGGGGGGACAUUUCCCUUACCUCCUUUGGGGGUGAGAUGUCGUCACCAGCCAGGACUGCUGCGGUACCUUCCGCCUCCCUUCCCCGGGUUGGGGGGACCCGGCAGGGCGCGGUGCUCCCAGCACAGAGAUCCCUGUGGGGGUGCACCCAGAGGCAAAGACGAGGCGUCCAGUUUGGGAUUUGAUGACGAGAACUCUCCAGCCCCCAGCCAGAGGGGUCCACUUUCUCCAGGCUUGAGUCCGAAACUGGGGCCACCACCAGCCCGGGACGGACCUUGCCAAAGCAUCGGCACUUCUUCACAGCCUCAGGUAGCCACCAAGCCAGCAGGUUCCCAGGUGCUUUCGUUGCCUACUGACUUCACCCCCCCUGCUGCUGCCGGGCACCGGCGAGAAAGUAGCCCUUCGUCAUCUUGCUCGGACGCUGUAAAGGGGGAUUAUGAAGCGUCCAUUAGACUGAAACCCGGCUAUGGAUCGUCCGGGACGGGGAAAACAGAAGAGCAGCGUUUUUUCCUCCAGGAGGCUUCAUUUUUAGACAGGCCUAAAGACGACCAAACGUCGCAAGAAUACAAGGUGUAUGCUGGACGGACCAAAAUGACGUGUCGAAUGGCUUCCUAUUGAGUUCUUUGACUCACUUAAAUGGACACCGUCGAUUUUUUUUAAAAUCACUUUUCUCUGAAUCAUGUUGACUUUCUAUUGUUGCACCUAUCUCCGAAAAUGACUGAAAGAGAUGAGAUUGAGAAUUUUUUUUUAAUUGUGCCCAUUUGACAGCAGCAACUUGUGUCGAGUCAGGUUCACUUUUCAGAGUCAAUUCCUCCUUUGUUUUGGGGAAACUUUACCACAACAAGAGGUCAAAUAUUAUUAAAUGCAAUAAUAAAUUGUUAACAUGUAAUUGUAAAACCACAAACAAUUGGCAGGGGGAUUCAGGAGCAGGUCUAAUACCUGAAGCUACCUUUAGCCUUUUUCUUUUUUUUAAAUUGACCAUAAAUUACAAAUUGAUGGUGUCUCUUUCAAUUUUGCAAGGAUGAUUAUUAUAUCUUUUUCCCCUUAUUAUUUUCCACCACUCUUUUAUUCUAGUACAUGCACACAUAAAAGUGGGAUAUGACAUCUUAUACUGGAUAUGAUUUUCACUGGUCCUUGGAGUCUUACAUAGCCUGUGGACAUUUCCAGCCAAUCGCUUUCGCUUCUAAAUUUCGGAGAUGAAGGCUGUGUCACUUCAUUAUCUCUGAUCAUGGUUAUUUCACUGCGCACCUUGUAUUAAUUUGCUAAUCGCCAUUCGUGAUGCUGCGGCGUUAGUCUUUGAGUCUGUAUUGUAAGACUGGUCCUCGCAAAACGUGAUUGAUUUGCUUAAUUUAUGUACCCCUGAACAUCAGUGAAUUAAUAAUAUAAUAAAGUGGGUUCCGCUGGUAAUAAGAAAAAGGUAAAACUGUGCAGUUGUGUAAUAUAAAGGCUUCUGGUUUUAAUUUCAUUCCUGGGUUGCUAUCUCAUAUAAAACUGCUUGUGACUGGAAAAUCUUGGUUAUUCCAUGCCUUACAGAAACUUUUUUUUAAAAGCAUAAUUCAAUUUUUUAUCUUGGAUUUACAACAGAUACCUGGGUUCGGUGAAAAAGGAGCUAAAAGACUGUUACUGACAGUCUAAAUUCAAGUACCUUCCUCUGAAUUUGGUUUACAGAGAACUAGUUUGUUUUUUUUUAGUGGACAAAUUAGUUGUGUUUUCUGAUUCUUUUAAUUAAUAGAAAAUUAAUUUCUUUCUUUCUUUCUUCUUUCUUUCUUUCUUUUUCUUCUUUCUUUCUUCUUUCUUUCUUUCUUUCUCAUUUGCAUCAAAACACAGUUACAAAUGUUUGUCUUAAACUUGGCAGAGGAUUGAAAAGCUGAACCUAUAGCUGGCAGCUGGCUGACUGCAAAGGGUGGAAAGGAAAAAAGAAGCCCUUAUACUAAAUACCAGACGCUGGAGCUGGGAAAGAAAUUCUUUAUGUAUUUGACCAGAGUGCGCCGCCUAGAGGUCAGAUGAAGUGUCAACUUCACAGAUUAGACAAGCCAAAAUCUGGUUCCAAAACCGCAGGAUGAAACUGAAAAAAAUGACCAAAGAUAAUAGGGUGCGACCAGAAUUUAACAGCUCAGUUCUCUUUGUGACAUGUGACUAAAUAAAACCAACGCAAAUCAAUUUGUGGGAAGAAAGGGAGGGGUAAUAUUUAUUUUUUGUCUUUGUUACCGCGGUUGUAACAAUGUUAAGGGAUUUCAGAUAUAUAUUUUAUUAUCUCCUAAACCAUGUGGUUAAGAAAUAUUCCUACGUAGGGUUUUUGUUUGUGAUAUACCUUUAGGCUGAAGCAUAGUUAAAAAGCAUUCACUCUAAAGUAAUAACCCCACUGACAUUUCUUCGAAUGGAGCUCUUACGAUGCUAGACAGUAAGGGUUUUUAAGCCAACUUUUUAAUCUUAUCCAUUUAAAUGCGAUAAGCACCUUCCAUAUGUAACACAUUCUGGUUGAAAAUAUUCCCCCAUUCUUACAGAACUGAUGACAAAUACUCCCAGAGGCUAGUUCUGAUGGAUGAGAACCCUGACAAACAGCUGUUAUAACAAUAUUUUAAUAAAACCAUAGCGUGGUGCAGGUCUAAAUAAAGCACAAGGAAACCCAUAAAGAGAACUUGAGCGUCAAAAGCAGAGAGAGAGAGAGAGAGAGAUACAUAUAUUGAUAUAUACGCAUACACUUUCAUUUUCCCUUGUCUAUUAAUUAUUUUAGCAGGUAUUUUGACGAGUGGAAGUGUCCUAUAGCUAAGAUAUCCAUUAAUUAUAUGAGAGCACUAGCUGGUCUGUGACGCCUAAAUUUAAAACCUUUUGAAGAACUUUCGCAACAGCCGGGGGGGGGAGGGGAUCCCAUUACUUUAAAAUGUUAUUCCAGCUCAAGGAUUAAACCCAAUAUAUAGUUUAUGUAGUUUUAUUAUGAUUAUUAUUAAGAUCUGCGUUAUUUAUUUUAAACCUGGUCGUGAAAUUAUAUGGCACAUGCAGUUUUGUACUUCACACUUAUCUAGGUCGUUUUAUUUAUGUUUCAGUCUGUAAUUUGAUGGGGGGGUGUAUUUAAUUUCCAAAUGUGAGCAGUGAAAGCUCAAUGAUAAACAUAUUCUUCCAUUUUGUUGUUUUGCAUAAGUGGAAGAGCUCUCAGUACCAAUGUCACUCCAAUACUGGAAGCUUUGAAGAAGAUAAAUGAAAAAUGUUUGAUCCAGUGGUUUCAAUUUUUAAAAAAGUCUCUGUAGCAGAUAGAAUUCAAUAUAAGACGUUUUGACAUGUGUGGGGUGUGGAUUAUUUGUCAAUGAAACGCAAAUAAAGUUUGAUAGCAAUAUAGCCUUUUGAUUUUUUUCCAGAGUUUGAUUUAAACUUGAACCUGCCCCUCUCUGGUGCAGAGUCAUGACUGUGAUCAAAAAUGAAACGAUACAUUUGAAAUAAAAAGUGCAUCUUUAUUUUAAAUCCCAGUCGAUGCCAGAGAGGUUUACUAAUAUUUUUUCUAUGUCUUGUAAUUUUCAAAAAAAGGUCUAAUAUUGCACAAAAAUAAAAAUCUAGGAUGCUGGAUAUUCUGAUCGUAAAUUAUUUCUCUUUUUAUAAUGUAUGGUUUGAUGGUGUUGUUGUGGUGUUCUUUUAAAUCUGUGUUUUCUUUCUGUUCACCGCCGCUGAUGUGAUGUAAACUGUUUGAAGUUCAACAACAUGGCUAAGUUUAUUGUAUUUCCGGUACAAUAGAUUUAUAUACCACCCCGUCCAGUCUUUAAAGGCUUUGCAAAUGAAAUGAAGCUAAGUUAUAGUCAAGUUUCAGGCUCCUUCCUGCAUCUCUUGAACUCGGACUAGUUGUUGUUGUGGGUUUGGUUUGGUUUGGUUUUUCUUCUAACGAACUUUUAAAGGCUAGGAAACUUGUACUUUAGAAACACGGCUAUCUUUACUUUAUUGUCUGUCGAGUGAGUUGAUUUAUUAUUUAACCCACUUAUUGAAGAAUACAACGCUCGAGGUAAGACAUUUAAUUUAUAUUUUAUGACAUUUAAAAAACGAGGGCAGCGGGAAAACUGAAGUAGAAAAUCUCAGUGUUAUAUUUUUUAAAAGAAUCUAAAUUUAAAUCGUUUCAUGUGCUUGAAAAGUUCUAAAAGUCUUCUAAGAAUUAAGGAAAUCUCACAGAACCUUGAACCUCAGCAAAAACUCCCUUUUGGGCUGUUAUCCAACCAUCUUUCCUCACCCUCUCCUCAGCUUGCUAGGUCUAAUUCUUCCCCUUUAUAAAAUUGGUAAUUAUUUUAUAUAAUCACUAUAAACAUGUCAUUUAUAUAUUCAGUGCAAAAAAGGACAAGUUCCUUAAAGUUGCUAGGUUAUAGCUAUAGAAGAGAUGUGGCGAUGCUCUUCCUAUUGUUCCCCUCGAUUCAAACUUUUUGAAAAAUUGGCUUAAGUUAUACUCACUUUUUGGGGUGUGGGAGAGAGAAAAUUAAUUAUGAUUUUUGAUUUCCAGAAUUCACUGGUUUUAUGUUAUUGUUAUUGUCAGCAGGAAGUUAUCAAAUAGUUGUUUUUUUUUUUUAACAAAAAUCAAAUUUUUCAAAAAAUAUUUUCAUACGGGAAAAGAUGCUUUCAAUUGCUUUUAUUAAAAGCUUGAGGAAUUUUUGGGCUCUACUUAUAGCUGAGAUAAUCUUUUGUUUCUCAAAGUCAAUAGUAUUUCACUGUUUCCUCUAGUCUAUUUGUAAACUAUUUGUAAAGUCCUGCAGGAGAGAUCCGUUCUAGACACUGUACAUAGGAAAUAAUCUGAAUGGAUAUUUCGUGAAAUCGUAGGGGUUUUUUGUCUUUGAAAAGACCCUUUUGUUGCUUUUGUUUCCUAGCAACUGUUUUCUAUUAUAAAAGUUCAGAUUCCAAGUGAUGUCAAACAAAAUGGCCGCCCAGGCGCCUUUCUUGGUAAUUUUAGCCUUUGACCCAGGAAUGAACUAGAACUGCUUUGUGAAUUAGGUAGUUUCAUGUUGUUGGGGUUUUAUUUUUAAACACAAGAACAUAAAACUACCUGAUUUACUCCAGUUAUUCUCCUCGAUUUUGUUUAUUCAGGCAGUUGGAUCAGAGGAAAAUGAUAGGUACGUUUAUUCAUUCAUUCAUUCAUUCAUUCAUUCAUUUAUUUUCUGCUCAAACCAUAUUAACGAAUUUUUAGUAUCUAAGGGCUAAGCAAGUUGGCAACAGUCCCUAUUAGCUUUGCAAAAAAUAAAUAAAAAUCAGGGAUUAUGCAUGCAGGGGUUUGGGGGGGUUUUCUUCAAAAUUCUGUUUCAGUGCCAUUUUGCAAGAAUGUAUAAUGACGCACAAAACAAUUUAACAAUUUAUGAAGGGCUCCAUCCUGCUCCUGCUAAAUUCAGUGGGAUCAGGAUCCGUUCCCGACAGGAGAUUUCUUAAAAAUAUUUUCUCUAAUUCCUUUAUGUAUAUAAAGGGAAUGAAGUUUUUUUUAUUUUUGGAAUAAGAAAUCCACAUCUAUGCUUAAAUUAUAAAAUAUUAGUUCAGGGAACACACUAAAACUCCCUCCAGGUUUCUUCGGUUGCCCCAUAUUACUCAGUUAUGUUCAUUAUAAACCCUAUUGCGAAAAUGCAUACACAUAUAACUUUCUAUUUUAUUUAUUUGAGCAUAAGCUUUCGUGAGCUACAGCUCACUUCAUCGGAUGCUCACGAAAGCUUAUGCUCAAACAAAUGUGUUAGUCUCUAAGGUGCCACAAGUCCUCCUUCUCUUUUUGCGAAUGCAGACUAACAUGGCUGCUACUCUGAAACCUUUCUAUUUCAGUUAUUUCACUAUGAUCAUACACAGCUUGAAUGGUAAUGUGCAAUCGGUUGUCUCUUGAGUUCUCCUGUUUCUUCUCUACCUACAUUCGAAAUAGACAUGAUAGCUACAAUGUGAGUUUAACAUAAUAUGGACUAAGAACAGAUGCUACUUAUAUACUCCACAUGCACGUUGGUGUUUUCUAUACUGAUGAUAAAAAUAUUCAUACAGGUGGGUACACACGCGCCUCCAUGUGAGGCUGUAGAUAAUUUUCUUUCGUUUUAGUAGUAAAACAACAAUUUAUCGUUUAACUUAAAACAUAUGAUCUUCAAAUGAAGCUAACCAAGGAUAAUGCAUGCAAAAGUGUUUAAAUACAAGCCUCCCACUGUGGUAGAAAUAUUGAUGAUCAAAGUUAUUUCUCGGUAACCUAAAAUAUUCCACGUUAGUAGGCUCCUAAAAAUUAUAUUUAUACUAAGUAAUGAUAUCAAAGAAUGGAAAUACCUUUCUGUAUAUCAGUUUCUGAAAUGAGCAUAAAAGUAAAUAGUAUAUCGUCUGGGACGAGAUUUUUUUUAAGUGUGCUUACCUCACACUUUGAGUUUCGAAUUACUAAAGAUUGAGGUGAUAUCCAAGUUUAGAAUAUCAUCUGCUAUUUCUUCUGUAAUCGAAGGAUUGCUGUGAAUUCAGUUUAUUCUAGGGUCGGAAUGGUAAAAAACUGUUUUACAGCCUUUAACCAGGGGCAUGCUUUAUCCCUGCAACUGGUGAUUGUUGUAGGCAAUGUGCCCAUCUUCCCUAUUAAACUAGCAGCCAUUCAGG
Molecule: long non-coding RNA, 7094 nt
Organism: Dermochelys coriacea (leatherback sea turtle)
Lineage: Eukaryota; Metazoa; Chordata; Testudines; Dermochelyidae
Exons: 2
Source: RefSeq, a predicted model, not a curated record